AACGAACGCUGGCGGCGCGCUUAACACAUGCAAGUCGAACGCAUCUUCGGAUGAGUGGCAAACGGGUGAGUAACGCGUGGGAACCUACCUUGUGGUACGGAAUAACUGUUGGAAACGACAGCUAACACCGUAUACGCCCUACGGGGGAAAGAUUACGCCAUAAGAUGGUCCCGCGUCUGAUUAGCUAGUUGGUGAGGUAACGGCUCACCAAGGCAUCGAUCAGUAGCUGGUCUGAGAGGACGAUCAGCCACACUGGGACUGAGACACGGCCCAGACUCCUACGGGAGGCAGCAGUGGGGAAUCUUGGACAAUGGGCGAAAGCCUGAUCCAGCGACGCCGCGUGGGUGAUGAAGGCCUUAGGGUUGUAAAUCCCUUUCACCGGGGAAGAUGAUGACAUUACCCGGAGAAGAAGCACCGGCUAAUUCCG
Molecule: ribosomal RNA, 427 nt
Filed under: uncultured Alphaproteobacteria bacterium
Lineage: Bacteria; Pseudomonadati; Pseudomonadota; Alphaproteobacteria
Description: bacterial SSU rRNA
Rfam family: Bacterial small subunit ribosomal RNA
Source: RNAcentral